RNAcentral lists this ribosomal RNA (484 nucleotides) under uncultured bacterium. RNAcentral's name for it is "partial 16S ribosomal RNA". It matches the Rfam family "Bacterial small subunit ribosomal RNA", at positions 30 to 507 of the family's 1533-position model. The record is from RNAcentral.
AUUGAACGCUGGCGGCAUGCCUUACACAUGCAAGUCGAACGGCAGCGCGGACUUCGGUCUGGCGGCGAGUGGCGAACGGGUGAGUAAUACAUCGGAACGUACCCUGUUGUGGGGGAUAACUAGUCGAAAGAUUAGCUAAUACCGCAUACGACCUGAGGGUGAAAGUGGGGGACCGCAAGGCCUCACGCAGCAGGAGCGGCCGAUGUCUGAUUAGCUAGUUGGUGGGGUAAAGGCCCACCAAGGCGACGAUCAGUAGCUGGUCUGAGAGGACGAUCAGCCACACUGGGACUGAGACACGGCCCAGACUCCUACGGGAGGCAGCAGUGGGGAAUUUUGGACAAUGGGGGCAACCCUGAUCCAGCAAUGCCGCGUGUGUGAAGAAGGCCUUCGGGUUGUAAAGCACUUUUGUCCGGAAAGAUAUCGCGCUGGUUAAUACCUGGCGUGAAUGACGGUACCGGAAGAAUAAGCACCGGCUAACUACGUG